UUUUGGCUGCCAAAACUUCAUCUACAAUGUCAGCAUCAUGAAGGCGGAGAAACUCUUUCAGAAGAACGGACGUCCAACAAAUUUGACAUAGUUAAAGAAAUGAGAUUUAGGCAGUUUCCUAUUUGGCUCAAGAAUGUUUGGGGUUAUGGUCCGGGAACUGCAUCCUUAUACCUGUCACAUCCAUGUGUAUUAGUUGUACUCAUAGCUGCAUCUUUAUAACUCAUAAGUUACAUUUAGUUUGGCUUCAUAACUAAUACUUGAACUUUUGCUUAGUGGGAAGCAAGCCUUAACACAGUUAAUGAGCUGAAUGGAAAGGGAAUGUGGCAUGUGGUUCAUUCUCCUUUUCGUCUCCAUUUUUUUACUGCAAUUCUUGAUCUGAUGUGGAAUGGGGUUAGGAUAUAAGAUUGGUGGCAGAAUGAACAGUUCUUAGUUCAUAUAAUGAGGAUAGGGACUUUGCUGAGCUCUA
Lotus japonicus is the source of this 466-nucleotide long non-coding RNA. RefSeq lists it as uncharacterized. The record is from RefSeq and is a predicted model, not a curated record. The transcript has 3 exons. Lineage: Eukaryota; Viridiplantae; Streptophyta; Magnoliopsida; Fabales; Fabaceae.